AACCCAUGGUGAGGGCACCUUCUAAAUAGAUCAUUGUAUCUUUCCUAUGCAUAAUAUAAGGUCUCUAAAUCGAUCUGAACAAAGGAAGAGAUAUCAUUCCUCAAUUU
This 107-nucleotide small nucleolar RNA is filed under the name Gossypium hirsutum (cotton). RNAcentral describes it as "Plant small nucleolar RNA R71". It matches the Rfam family "Plant small nucleolar RNA R71". From Rfam's summary of the family: R71 is a member of the C/D box family of snoRNAs containing the C (UGAUGA) and D (CUGA) box motifs. Multiple nearly identical copies of this snoRNA have been identified in Arabidopsis, and it is thought to function as a 2'-O-ribose methylation guide for 18S ribosomal RNA. The record is from Rfam by way of RNAcentral. Lineage: Eukaryota; Viridiplantae; Streptophyta; Magnoliopsida; Malvales; Malvaceae.